This 502-nucleotide ribosomal RNA is filed under the name uncultured bacterium. RNAcentral describes it as "bacterial SSU rRNA". It matches the Rfam family "Bacterial small subunit ribosomal RNA", at positions 367 to 869 of the family's 1533-position model. The record is from RNAcentral.
GGCAAUGGGCGAAAGCCUGACCCAGCCAUGCCGAGUGGAGGAAGACGGCCCACAGGGUUGUAAACUCCUUUGGUCAGGGACGAAAGAGCACCUGCGGGCGUGUGUUUGACGGUACAAGAAGAAUAAGCACCGAUUAACUCCGUGCCAGCAGCUGAGAUAAUACGGAGGGUGCAAGCUUUAUCCGGAUUUGCUGGAAAUAAAGGCUGGGUAGGCGUCCUUGUAAGUCUGUGAUGAAAGGGUUCGGCUUAAGAGUAGUAAGGCAUAGAUACUGCGAGGCUUGAGUACAGUGGGGGCAGAAAUAAUUGGUGGAGUAGCGGAGAAAUGCAUAUAUACCACCAGGAACACCGAUAGAGAAGGCAGUCUGGUACGCUGUAACUGACGCUGAGGCAAGAAAGCGGGGGGAACAAACAGGAUUAGAUACCGUGGUCGUCCCCGCAAUAAACGAUGGAUACUCGGUGUCAGCCCGAUGGGGUUGGUGCCUAAGCUAACGCGAUAAGUAUCC